Long non-coding RNA from Perca fluviatilis (European perch), 994 nucleotides. RefSeq lists it as uncharacterized. The record is from RefSeq and is a predicted model, not a curated record. The transcript has 2 exons. NCBI's taxonomy places the organism in Eukaryota, Metazoa, Chordata, Actinopteri, Perciformes, Percidae.
GAAAGUGUUGAACAAAGGAGGCUCUGCAGGGAGGAAACUCAGGAUCAUUAUGGCCCCAACGACACAGGAAGCCGAGGGAGCUUGAGAAGUCACCUUUGGUAUCUACAGCAUCGAUGUUAAGGGAGGUGAUACCGCCACUCCUCCAGCCGAUGUUGGAAUUGUGAUUCAGGGUGUUGAAGUUCUGCACGACUUGGGAGACUUUGCCUCUGCAUGUGCCCUGAGUUAUCCUAACAGACUGAAAGCCUUCUUUGAAGUACUUCAAAAGUUCUUCCUUCAAAUGGAUGCUUGCAGACUCUCAACCAAGGUACAGCUGCUCAUUAACUAACUGUACAAAUGAGACAAUCACUGAUUUGGAUGCUGAAUGUUUCAUCGAACAGGAGAAAUAUUUUGGGCCGAAACUGAAAAAAAUGAUCUGUUUGAAAAUAGAGCAGAGAAACUACACUUGAGGAAAACAACCAAUUUCUUUGCAAACUUUUGAAAAACUUAUCAUACAUGAAAAGUGGUAGUUGAGUGGCACUACUAGAGAAGUGAUGUAGAAUUGAGAGACCAUGCUACGCAAAAACGGUUGAUAUAUAACUAUGGCUAUUUUGUGGAUGUUUUAACACUAAGCUGCAUCAAAAACAACUGCAAGGAAGUUCAAUCAUCAGACCAUCUUAACCAUCGUUAAAGAAAUCCUACUGUAGAGUAGAUGUUUGUUAAAGUGUUGCCACUGAAAACUUUAUUUUAGAUGUUAAGGCUGUUAGAUGGAGAGACUAUUAUUUUGUAAACAAAUUUGAAAACUGUAAAAAGUAUUAUUUAUUAAACCAUAAAAAGUGAGUUAUUUAUUAAAGUGUGAAUUAUUUAUAUAUUUGCUGUCAAUCGAUCGACUAAUAUUUGCAGCUGUAAUUCCAUGUGUUACAAAUGUGUACAUGCAUUGAAAUGUUAGUUUAUAGAAUGGCACCAAAAUGUUACUGAAUCACUGCUGUGUUGAUGAAUAAAGGAAAUAAGAAAACUA